UCAGGAUAAACGCUGGCGGCGUGCUUAACGCAUGCAAGUCGAACGGAGUGGUUCUCCCGAGGAUUGAUAGUGCUUGCACUUGAUUGACUCAUUGAAUCACUUAGUGGCGGACGGGUGAGUAACGCGUGGGAAACCUGCCCUAUACUGGGGGAUAGCAGUUGGAAACGACUGAUAAUACCGCAUAAGCGCACAGCUUCGCAUGAAGCAGUGUGAAAAACUCCGGUGGUAUAGGAUGGUCCCGCGUCUGAUUAGCUAGUUGGUGAGGUAACGGCCACCAAGGCGACGAUCAGUAGCCGGCCUGAGAGGGUGUACGGCCACAUUGGGACUGAGACACGGCCCAAACUCCUACGGGAGGCAGCAGUGGGGAAUAUUGGACAAUGGGGGAAACCCUGAUCCAAGCGACGCCGCGUGAACGAUGAAGUAUUUCGGUAUGUAAAGUUCUAUCAGCAGGGAAGAUAAUGACGGUACCUGACUAAGAAGCACCGGCUAAAUACGUGCCAGCCGCCGC
Molecule: ribosomal RNA, 508 nt
Filed under: uncultured bacterium
Lineage: Bacteria
Description: bacterial SSU rRNA
Rfam family: Bacterial small subunit ribosomal RNA
Source: RNAcentral